RNAcentral lists this ribosomal RNA (1128 nucleotides) under Triticum aestivum (bread wheat). Its description in RNAcentral is "partial small subunit ribosomal RNA". The record is from RNAcentral. Lineage: Eukaryota; Viridiplantae; Streptophyta; Magnoliopsida; Poales; Poaceae.
AUGGUUGGAGGCUAUGUCCCUGAGCAUGUCUGGCGAGUGCUUGCUGAGCUAAGCCAUUUCUUCCGCACGCUCUGUGCUAAAGAAGUAAGUAAAGAUGUGAUUGAAAAAUUACAUAAGAAGGCACCGGAGUUGAUAGUCAAGCUAGAGAAGAUCUUUCCGCCAGGCUUCUUUACUCCGAUGACACAUCUCAUUCUGCACCUCGUGAACGAGGUAUUGUUGGGGGGGCCUGUGCAGAAUCGCUGGCAGUAUGGCCCUGAGAGACAGAACAAGCAUCUCCGAAAGAAAUGUGGAAACAAAGCUAAGAUUGAAGCUUCCAUAGCUGAGGCAGUUAUCCUAGAGGAGGUGGCAGACCUCAGGACAUCAUACUAUCCAGACCACGUUCUCCAUCUGCAUAACAAGGUGCCUCGAUACAAUAUAGAAGAGCCCAAGUAUCAACCCAGGCUCCAUCUAUUCAACGCGCAAGGUGGGAGGGCUGGGGCCUCGAAAUGUUAUAACAUGCCACGACAAGAGUGGGAGGACCUCAUGUUCUAUAUCUUACACAACAUCAAGGAAGUUGAGGAAGUGUGGAUGAGUGAUUUUGUUCAAGAGGAAUGGACGGGAAUGAAUCCUCCUACUGAGGCGGAGGCACUUACUCUUCUCCGUCAUGGAAACCCUGGACGUAAAAAUUUUGUUGCUUGGUUCAUGGAGAAAGGAAAAGAUCCGAACAUAUCUAUGGAUGAUGAAUUGAGAUGGGUUUCCAUGGGUUUUGACCCUGCCGUCAUGACAUGUAAAAAGUAUGAUGUGAAUAGGUAUCGCUUCCAUACAGAGGAGCACCAGAACAGCCGGCCUGAUCCCAAAACUAUAAAUACCGAAGUGUACACCCCCGGUCAAAAUUCAGUAGACUACUAUGGAAGGGUACAAAAUAUAUACGAGAUUAAAUUCCACCAGGGGCGCGAGACCCUAAGUCUGCAUGUGUUCAAAUGUCGAUGGUUCGAUUCGCGCGAGGGGGUAAAACAUACGCCUUCCAUUGGUUUGGUCGAAGUUAAACCAACCAUCUACGCCGGAGCCGAUCUCUUCAUUGCGGCUACCCAAGCUACACAAGUAUAUUAUCUGCCUUACCCAUGCCAGAAAGAGUACCUAAAGGGUUGA